AGUGAACGCUGGCGGUAGGCCUAACACACGCAAGUCGAACGGCAGCACAGGAGAGCUUGCUCUCUGGGUGGCGAGUGGCGGACGGGUGAGGAAUACAUCGGAAUCUACUCUGUCGUGGGGGAUAACGUAGGGAAACUUACGCUAAUACCGCAUACGACCUACGGGUGAAAGCAGGGGACCUUCGGGCCUUGCGCGAUUGAAUGAGCCGAUGUCGGAUUAGCUAGUUGGCGGGGUAAAGGCCCACCAAGGCGACGAUCCGUAGCUGGUCUGAGAGGAUGAUCAGCAACACUGGAACUGAGACACUGUCCAGACUCCUACGGGAGUCAGCAGUGGGGAAUAUUGGACAAUGGGCGCAAGCCUGAUCCAGCCAUACCGCGUGGGUGAAGAAGGCCUUCGGGUUGUAAAGCCCUUUUGUUGGGAAAGAAAUCCAGCUGGCUAAUACCCGGUUGGGAUGACGGUACCCAAAGAAUAAGCACCGGCUAACUUCGUGCCAGCCGCCGCCGUAA
RNAcentral lists this ribosomal RNA (506 nucleotides) under uncultured bacterium. RNAcentral's name for it is "partial 16S ribosomal RNA". It matches the Rfam family "Bacterial small subunit ribosomal RNA", at positions 29 to 523 of the family's 1533-position model. The record is from RNAcentral.